UUAAACUUACCAAAAAUUUGAUAGCAAACAUAUACGAUUCAACAAAGAGCACUUUAUUUGGCCACCAAAAAGGGGAAAACUACGGAAUUUUUUUAAGCUUUUGAGGAUUAGAGACGGAGUAACAAGUAAAUACAAAUACUUAAAGACUCAGAAAACAUAGGAAGGAAAAGCUCAAAAGUCAAAAAUGGCCCCUUAAUUCAAGCACUGAUACCAACUCUCUUCCCACCUCCCCAACCCCCAAAAAAAACCACCCAGGCAAAUCCUCAUCUUCAGCAUCCAGCCACUCCAAAAGCCAGCAACCACAAUAAUCAAAACUGUUAUUGAUAUAAAAA
This 332-nucleotide long non-coding RNA is filed under the name Nicotiana benthamiana. Its description in RNAcentral is "long non-coding RNA (NBEN_LNC002647)". Lineage: Eukaryota; Viridiplantae; Streptophyta; Magnoliopsida; Solanales; Solanaceae. The record is from RNAcentral.